UGGGGAAUAUUGCACAAUGGGCGCAAGCCUGAUGCAGCAACGCCGCGUGAGGGACGACGGCCUUCGGGUUGUAAACCUCUUUUAGUAGGGAAGAAGCGAAAGUGACGGUACCUGCAGAAAAACGCACCGGCUAACUACGUGCCAGCAGCCGCGGUAAUACGUAGGGUGCGAGCGUUGUCCGGAAUUAUUGGGCGUAAAGAGCUCGUAGGCGGUCUGUCGCGUCUGCUGUGAAAACCCCGAGGCUCAACCUCGGGCCUGCAGUGGGUACGGGCAGACUAGAGUGCGGUAGGGGAGAAUGGAAUUCCUGGUGUAGCGGUGAAUGCGCAGAUAUCAGGAGGAACACCGAUGGCGAAGGCAGUUCUCUGGGCCGUAACUGACGUUGAGGAGCGAAAGCGUGGGGAGCGAACAGGAUUAGAUACCCUGGUAGUCCACGCCGUAAACGUUGGGCGCUAGAUGUGGGGCACCAUUCCACGGUUUCCGUGUCGCAGCUAACGCAUUAAGCG
Molecule: ribosomal RNA, 503 nt
Filed under: uncultured bacterium
Lineage: Bacteria
Description: partial 16S ribosomal RNA
Rfam family: Bacterial small subunit ribosomal RNA
Source: RNAcentral